UACAGAGGUCUCAAGCGUUGUUCGGAUUCAUUGGGCGUAAAGGGUGCGUAGGCGGCGAGGUAAGUCGGAUGUGAAAUCCCGGGGCUCAACCCCGGAACUGCAUUCGAUACUGCUUUGCUUGAGUACUGGAGAGGAGACUGGAAUUUACGGUGUAGCAGUGAAAUGCGUAGAUAUCGUAAGGAAGACCAGUGGCGAAGGCGAGUCUCUGGACAGUUACUGACGCUGAGGCACGAAGGCCAGGGAGCAAACGGG
RNAcentral lists this ribosomal RNA (252 nucleotides) under uncultured bacterium. Its description in RNAcentral is "partial 16S ribosomal RNA". It matches the Rfam family "Bacterial small subunit ribosomal RNA", at positions 524 to 776 of the family's 1533-position model. The record is from RNAcentral.